UUUCCGUAGGUGAACCUGCGGAAGGAUCAUUAUUGUAUAACCGAGGUGCGAGGGCUGUCGCUGACCCGAAAGGUCGUGCACGCCCGAGUGCCCUCACACACAUCCAUCUCACCCCUAUGUGCACCACCGCGCGGGUCCCCCUUUGGCUUGUUCGGAGGGGGGCUUACGUUUUCACACAAACUUUGUAUGCAGUGUAGAAUGUAUUUUUUGUUUUUGCGAUCACGCAAUCAAUACAACUUUCAACAACGGAUCUCUUGGCUCUU
RNAcentral lists this unclassified non-coding RNA (263 nucleotides) under plant metagenome. Its description in RNAcentral is "partial contains small subunit ribosomal RNA, internal transcribed spacer 1, and 5.8S ribosomal RNA". The record is from RNAcentral.